Molecule: long non-coding RNA, 221 nt
Filed under: Daucus carota (carrot)
Lineage: Eukaryota; Viridiplantae; Streptophyta; Magnoliopsida; Apiales; Apiaceae
Description: long non-coding RNA (DCAR_LNC004888)
Source: RNAcentral
CAUCAACCAUCUUAUCUACCGUAAAAUGGUAAAUGAAGAAGUUGCUUCUGGAACAAAACCUUUAACCUUACUGUGCACUCUCUUGUAUUGUGUCCAUAAGAAUUUUGUUUAGGCUCUUCAUCAGAGUGAUUACUGAUGAUGUGCUUGACUCAAUACAAGAUGCUCUGGCUGACGAGCGAGUUUCAAUGGACUCAUCCUGUUGAGAGAAUGAUUCCAGAGAC